RNAcentral lists this ribosomal RNA (1477 nucleotides) under uncultured bacterium. RNAcentral describes it as "bacterial SSU rRNA". It matches the Rfam family "Bacterial small subunit ribosomal RNA". The record is from RNAcentral.
GAUUGAACGCUGGCGGCAGGCCUAACACAUGCAAGUCGAGCGGUAGCACAGAGAGCUUGCUCUCGGGUGACGAGCGGCGGACGGGUGAGUAAUGUCUGGGAAACUGCCUGAUGGAGGGGGAUAACUACUGGAAACGGUAGCUAAUACCGCAUAACGUCGCAAGACCAAAGUGGGGGACCUUCGGGCCUCAUGCCAUCAGAUGUGCCCAGAUGGGAUUAGCUAGUAGGUGGGGUAACGGCUCACCUAGGCGACGAUCCCUAGCUGGUCUGAGAGGAUGACCAGCCACACUGGAACUGAGACACGGUCCAGACUCCUACGGGAGGCAGCAGUGGGGAAUAUUGCACAAUGGGCGCAAGCCUGAUGCAGCCAUGCCGCGUGUGUGAAGAAGGCCUUCGGGUUGUAAAGCACUUUCAGCGGGGAGGAAGGCGUUAAGGUUAAUAACCUUGGCGAUUGACGUUACCCGCAGAAGAAGCACCGGCUAACUCCGUGCCAGCAGCCGCGGUAAUACGGAGGGUGCAAGCGUUAAUCGGAAUUACUGGGCGUAAAGCGCACGCAGGCGGUCUGUCAAGUCGGAUGUGAAAUCCCCGGGCUCAACCUGGGAACUGCAUUCGAAACUGGCAGGCUAGAGUCUUGUAGAGGGGGGUAGAAUUCCAGGUGUAGCGGUGAAAUGCGUAGAGAUCUGGAGGAAUACCGGUGGCGAAGGCGGCCCCCUGGACAAAGACUGACGCUCAGGUGCGAAAGCGUGGGGAGCAAACAGGAUUAGAUACCCUGGUAGUCCACGCCGUAAACGAUGUCGAUUUGGAGGUUGUGCCCUUGAGGCGUGGCUUCCGGAGCUAACGCGUUAAAUCGACCGCCUGGGGAGUACGGCCGCAAGGUUAAAACUCAAAUGAAUUGACGGGGGCCCGCACAAGCGGUGGAGCAUGUGGUUUAAUUCGAUGCAACGCGAAGAACCUUACCUGGUCUUGACAUCCACAGAACCUUCCAGAGAUGGAUUGGUGCCUUCGGGAACUGUGAGACAGGUGCUGCAUGGCUGUCGUCAGCUCGUGUUGUGAAAUGUUGGGUUAAGUCCCGCAACGAGCGCAACCCUUAUCCUUUGUUGCCAGCGGUUCGGCCGGGAACUCAAAGGAGACUGCCAGUGAUAAACUGGAGGAAGGUGGGGAUGACGUCAAGUCAUCAUGGCCCUUACGACCAGGGCUACACACGUGCUACAAUGGCAUAUACAAAGAGAAGCGACCUCGCGAGAGCAAGCGGACCUCAUAAAGUAUGUCGUAGUCCGGAUUGGAGUCUGCAACUCGACUCCAUGAAGUCGGAAUCGCUAGUAAUCGUAGAUCAGAAUGCUACGGUGAAUACGUUCCCGGGCCUUGUACACACCGCCCGUCACACCAUGGGAGUGGGUUGCAAAAGAAGUAGGUAGCUUAACCUUCGGGAGGGCGCUUACCACUUUGUGAUUCAUGACUGGGGUGAAGUCGUAACAAGG